This is a non-coding RNA of Chiloscyllium plagiosum (whitespotted bambooshark), 826 nucleotides long. Lineage: Eukaryota; Metazoa; Chordata; Chondrichthyes; Orectolobiformes; Hemiscylliidae. The record is from RefSeq and is a predicted model, not a curated record.
AGGAGUAACCGAGAAGGGAAGCUAAACUGUCACUGCUCAGUCAUGGCACCUCUUUAUAGAAGGCCCCUGACCAGUCUACAUGAUAUUAUUGAGACCUGCCUCCAAUUUUAACACAGUGGCCUAAAGAAUGUAGGCCCCACAGUGAGAUUCCUGCCAGCCUAGUCUGAUGCUACAGGAUGCCCCAGAAGGGUGAAGAUUGGUCUGACAUGCAGAUGAUUUAUUGUACCUGCCCUGAUGAGUUGCUCUUUACUAGAAACAAGCUGAAGAACUACAUGUAAAACCUGAGACAGGAUCUGUCCUCAGGCAGAAGAGACUGGAUGGACAGUCUUUGUACCUGUUCAUCACCAAAUACUGAGCUCCUUUUUGACUCACUUGUCUCAGUAAGUCACUUUGUUGCUGGCUGAACAAUAUUAUCAGUAUAAACACAAAAGAAAUGCUUGUUGUCCAUCUAUACACUGUUUAUUUAUGGAAGCAAACGCUUUUAGAAAGGAAUGGGUGAGGUGAGGACCUGUGACAGUCAUCUCAGUCUGACAUCCUGAGGACCAGCCAAUCCUUUAUGCCAGACUGUAUGACCUGAAGCCUACAGACAGCGUGGCCUCCGAAUUGUUCCUGUCCUCGAUCGUGGAGGCCUUAGGUGACAGCAAGCGGGAGAGACUGGGUUGGCUGUUAUCUCUGGAUGGGCUGACCAAAGCCUUCCAGUCCUUAGAGGAGAUUAAAACCGGCUGAGUUGUAUUCAGUUCUGCGGGACAUGAUUGGCCAGGAACUGCUGGAGGUGAUCAACAGUAUUGCUCAUUUUGCAUUUUGUUAAUGUGAAUUCACUGUUACG